GGAGGACCCCUUGAGCCCAGGAAUUUGAGGCUGCAGUGAGCUAUGAUUGUGCCACUGUACUCCAGCCUGGGUAACAGAGACCACAUCGCUAUAAAUAAAAUGACAUUAAAAGACAGUUAAAAUAUAAAAUUCCUGCACAUUCACAGUAAUAUAAAAACCUCAGUAUUUUUUUUUAGAUUAUUACUUUUUGCUGGCCAGUCAAAAAUUCUUACUUUUUUUUCUUAUUCUGAACUUUCAGACUGGCUGAAACCACCACGGUUGUUUACAAUUUAUGCUCUAACUUUGGAUCACCUAGUUAAUACUCUAACUCCGAUUAUUACCAAAGACAAUGUUCUAUAAAAGAUAUUGUCUAUUAGAAGGAUGCUUCUGCAUUAUUAAUAAAAUCACAGGGAAAAUGCAACAUUUUGGAUGUCACAUCUGAUAAGUGGGUGACUGAUCGUACCCGCCAGCUGGCUAAUGUCAUAAUUAACAAAGUUGCUACUACAUCUGCAAAGUUUAAUCGAAAAAUUUGCCAGUGAUAUGAUGGCCUUGUCACAGAGAUCACAAGGGACACGGAGUUGACUUUUGCUCAAGGUGGAACGACAGAGCUGUGUAGGCAAGAUGAGAAAUUGCGAACUUGUUCGGCCAAAGGAGGCUAAUAAUGAAGGGGCCGGGAAGGAGGCCAGUGCUACCAGGGUUAUCUCACAACCUCAGAUGCUGGAUAAGUCGACGGAGGCAGAAUCGCUUUGGGAUGACAUUCAGAAAGCCUGGAGUGAUUACUUGCAAGAGAAAAGCCUACCUAUUCUUUCCAAGGUGCAGGAAUAUUCCCCUGACC
RNAcentral lists this long non-coding RNA (814 nucleotides) under Homo sapiens (human). Lineage: Eukaryota; Metazoa; Chordata; Mammalia; Primates; Hominidae. The record is from RNAcentral.